This 468-nucleotide ribosomal RNA is filed under the name uncultured bacterium. RNAcentral's name for it is "partial 16S ribosomal RNA". It matches the Rfam family "Bacterial small subunit ribosomal RNA", at positions 28 to 507 of the family's 1533-position model. The record is from RNAcentral.
GACGAACGCUGGCGGCGUGCUUAACACAUGCAAGUCGAACGGAAAGGCCCUGCUCUUGUUGGGUGCUCGAGUGGCGAACGGGUGAGUAACACGUGAGUAACCUGCCCUUGACUUUGUGAUAACUCCAGGAAACUGGGGCUAAUACCGGAUAGGAGCUCCUGCUGCAUGGGGGGGGUUGGAAAGUGUCGGCGGUUGGGGAUGGAUUCGCGGGUUAUCAGCUUGUUGGUGGGGUAGUGGCAUACGAAGGGUUUGACGGGUAGCCGGCCUGGGAGGGUGACCAGCGACAAUGGGCCUACGAUACGGACCAGACUGGUACGGUAGGCAGCAGUGGGAAAUAUGGCACAGUGGGCGGACGCCUGAUGCAGAGGCGCCGCGUGCGGGAUGCCGGCCUUCGGGUUGUAAACCGCUUUCGCCUGUGACGAAGCGUGAGUGACGGUAAUGGGUAAAGAAGCACCGGCUAACUACGUG